UACAGGGGGUGCAAGCGUUGUUCGGAAUUACUGGGCGUAAAGCGCGGGCAGGUGGCCCGCUAAGUCUGCGGUGAAAUCCCGGAGCUCAACUCCGGAUAUGCCGCGGAUACUGGCGGGCUAGAGACCAGUAGAGGCGAGUGGAAUUCCAGGUGUAGCGGUGGAAUGCGCAGAUAUCAGGAGGAACACCUAUAGCGAAGGCAGCUUGCUGGGACGUUACUGACGCUAAGGCGCGAAAGCGUGGGGAGCGAACAGG
RNAcentral lists this ribosomal RNA (253 nucleotides) under uncultured bacterium. RNAcentral describes it as "partial 16S ribosomal RNA". It matches the Rfam family "Bacterial small subunit ribosomal RNA", at positions 524 to 776 of the family's 1533-position model. The record is from RNAcentral.